RNAcentral lists this ribosomal RNA (487 nucleotides) under uncultured bacterium. Its description in RNAcentral is "bacterial SSU rRNA". It matches the Rfam family "Bacterial small subunit ribosomal RNA", at positions 594 to 1080 of the family's 1533-position model. The record is from RNAcentral.
GUGAAAUCCCGGGGCUCAACCCCGGAACUGCAUCCGAUACUGCCUGACUUGAACAAUGGAGGGGUAGCCGGAAUUCUCGGUGUAGCAGUGAAAUGCGUGGAUAUCGAGAGGAACACUCGCGGCGAAGGCGGGCUACUGGACAUUUGUUGACGCUGAGGCUCGAAGGCCGGGGGAGCGAAAGGGAUUAGAUACCCCUGUAGUCCCGGCAGUAAACGGUGCGCGCUUGGUGUGAGGGGUUUCGACCCCCCUUGUGCCGGAGCUAACGCGUUAAGCGCGCCGCCUGGGAAGUACGGUCGCAAGACUAAAACUCAAAGAAAUUGACGGGGACCCGCACAAGCGGUGGAGUAUGUGGCUUAAUUCGAUGCAACGCGAAGAACCUUACCAGGGCUUGACAUGCAUUGCUAAACCCGUGAAAGCGGGUGAGUCUUCGGACACCUUGCACAGGUGCUGCAUGGCCGUCGUCAGCUCGUGUCGUGAGAUGUUGGGU